CCUACGGGAGGCAGCAGUAGGGAAUUUUCGGCAAUGGGGGGAACCCUGACCGAGCAACGCCGCGUGAACGAAGAAGUUAUUCGUAAUGUAAAGUUCUUUUAACAGGGAAGAAAGAGAAUUUUGACGGUACCUGACGUAUAAGCUCCGGCUAACUACGUGCCAGCAGCCGCGGUAAUACGUAGGGAGCGAGCGUUAACGGGAAUUAUGGGGCGUAAAGGGUUCGUAGAGGGCAUAGAAAGUCUUUUGGAAAGAUGCUGGGCUAAACCCAGUAGGUCAAAAGAUACUGCAAAGCUAGAGUAUGACAGAGGCGAGUGGAACUACAUGUGGAGCGGUAAAAUGCGUAAAUAUAUGUAAGAACACCAGUGGCGAAGGCGGCUUUCUGGGUCGAUACUGACAUUGAGGCACGAAAGCGUGGGGAGCAAACAGGAUUAGAUACCCCAGUAGUC
Molecule: ribosomal RNA, 446 nt
Filed under: uncultured bacterium
Lineage: Bacteria
Description: partial 16S ribosomal RNA
Rfam family: Bacterial small subunit ribosomal RNA
Source: RNAcentral